RNA transcript from Hemicordylus capensis (graceful crag lizard), 5101 nucleotides. It is a transcript of the gene named zinc finger FYVE-type containing 27, with no coding region annotated. The transcript is spliced from 14 exons. NCBI's taxonomy places the organism in Eukaryota, Metazoa, Chordata, Lepidosauria, Squamata, Cordylidae. The record is from RefSeq and is a predicted model, not a curated record.
GAUUGGCUGGCUGCAUCCGACGGACGAGCUUCUUCGCCGUCGCUUCCACCCAAGCGUGCUCUGCGCACUGGAGCUCGGGCACAGCCGGGUCCUUCUCUUCAGGAAGUGGAGGUGGCUGGCGGCGGCGGCGGCCGCCGGGAGCGAGGUCGAGCUUGCCAGCGGAAAGGCUCCGCCCUUUCGCCCUGCUUGGGGUUGAGGCAGGCGGGCCGUGGGCCGAGACAGGAUGCAGCAGGUGUCGGAGCGUGAGAGUGGAGCGGCCACAGGGAAUGGGCUGGAGAGCCCCACAGCAUCUGAUGCCCAGCCAGUUCCCCCCUCACCUCCCAAGCCCCCUUCCUUGGAUCUCUUCAAUCUAGUGGUGUCAUACAAGCGACUGGAGUUGUAUCUAGAACCGCUGCAGGACCUUCUUGAAGGGGUGUGGUUUCUCCUCAGCUGGCAGAUGCCUCUCUGCUCCCUUCUUACCUGCCUGGGCCUCAACUUUCUGCUGCUGACUCUGAGUGAAGCUGCUUGGUAUGGGCUGUGUGUCUUCCUGAUCUCAGUGCCUGCCAUGUUAGGCUACCUACAGGAGACCUACCGCAUCCGCCUAACUGAAGAAGAGCUGGCGCGUCGUAGGCACCACAGUGUGUGGCGCGAGGAUGUGCGAAAGGUUCAGCUUUCUCGCCAGGAGGCUGUAGCUGAAGUGAAAGGCUUCCUGAUCCAGCUGGAAGCCUUCAUGAGCCGACUCUGUAGUGGCUGUGAGGCAGUCUACCGUGUCCUCUACUGGGAGAACCCCUCGCUCUCCUCACAGUUUUAUGGGAUGCUGAUGGGUACCGUGUGUGCCCUCUACCUCCUGCCCUUGUGCUGGGUUUUCCUCCUCAUUAAUAAUGCCCUUUUCUUGGGCAAUGUGGCAUUUUACCAAGUGAUUCUGGAGCUGAAGUCCGCUGUAGAGCAGCGCUUGGGCCUCAGGCCGCUUGCCAGUUCUCCAGAGCCUGCAGAGCCAGAUGCUGGAGAAGUAUGGGCUGGAGCCCUGCUGAACCGGACACCCACCCCCACCAGUACUGAGGAUCUGACCCCUGGCAGUGUGGAGGAAGCAGAGGAAGCAGAACCCGAUGAUGAAUUCAAGGAUGCUGUUGAGGAGACCCAACUGCUAGUGAUGGAGGAUGACGACAUCUCCCAGUGCUCAGCAGAAUUUGAGCUGGGCCUUCCCGAAAAUGUCUUCAUGAGCAAGAACGAGGUGAUUCGCAGCAAGGUGUCACGGCUGACUGAGCGUCUGCGCAAGCACUACCCAACGAACAACCUUGGAAGCUGUGCAAGCUGUUCAGCCACUUUCUCUGUCCUGAAGAAGAGGCGAAGCUGUAGUAACUGCGGGAACAGUUUCUGCUCCAGGUGCUGCUCCUUCAAAGUUCCCAAGAGCUACAUGGGGGCUACAGCCCCUGAUGCCCAGCGGGAGACAGUCUUCGUGUGUGCGCAGUGCAACCAAGCACUCCUCAAGUGAGAAGCUGGUCCGGAGUCCUGUGCUCUGCUGAAUCUGUUCUGCGUCUUACCCCGUACUGCUGAUACUUGGGUAUGACGUAAACUAUGCUUGGCAAACAAGACACAGCUAUGGCUCUUGACCACAUGGAAAAGGUCAGGUUCUGUCACAAGCGUGGGUACAAGUCAUAAGGAGAAAUGAUUACAGAAAGAAAGAACAAGACUUCAUUGUUGGCUAAAGUUCAUGCAAUGUUCCCUGCACUUAGAAUGUUGUCCUUCUCAGUUCCUCUCUGGCACUUACCAAUAAGUCCCGACAUUCUACAAUACUGGACAAACAGGCCAGAUCAAAACUCAUUGCAGCCUGGAUUCAGAUGAAGAUUUUUUAAAUAUGUUGGCUACUUAUAAACUGUUUGCACAGUAGUAUUUAACCUUAUGGAGAGCUGAUUGUCUGUAUUGUCUGUCUGUGCAAGAAAGAGAGUGUUAUGGUGCCCCCACCCCCAAUCUGAAUGGGAACCUGGGGAAAGGGUAGCACUUACUCCACUGUGUGGCAGGAUGCUACCAAUGGUUAGUUGACAUCAAGGGUAUUGCUGGGUACUUAAAUGAUCUGGGGCCAGGCCUGCAACACCUCUUUUUGAUUAUUAAACUCAGUCAUAUCCACCCCACAAGAAUAAUUACUUUAAAAAAAAGAAAAGUCUCUAAUAUUAUAAUACUGCGCAAGCCACCUUAUGACGCAGCAGGAAAAUGACUUGAUUAACAAGCCAGAGGUUGCCAGUUUGAAUCCCCGCUGGUAUGUUCCCCAGACUAUGGGGAACACCUGUAUUGAGCAGCAGCGAUAUAGGAAAGAUGCUGAAAGGCAUCAUCUCAUACUAUGGAGGAGAUGGCAAUGGUAAACUCCUCCUGUAUUCUACCAAGACAACCACAGGGCUCUGUGGGCGCCAGGAGUCAACACCGACCUGAAGGCACACUUUACCUUUUAUUAUAAGACAGCAUGUAUGAAGGUGAAAGCAGCAGAGAGCUAGGUGAGGCCAGGAGCUCUCUCCCAUGCUCUGUACAGGUGCCUCCAUGGUUGCAUUUCCUUUCUGGAAGAAGCCAUGGAGGAAGGAGGUACCAGAUGAGAUUCAAGGCUCUGAGCAAUUCACUGGGGGACUGUGUUCCAUGCCCCCCUACCCAUGAUGCACCUGGUUGACAUUCAGACUAAGUUUACCUGAUAAUAUAACUUGGGAGUUACACUGAAGGACUACUUUAAUUGCAACAGGACUUCUGCCAAGUCGUUUAGUCAGGAAGCCAGCCAUUGACUCUUGGGCAAUUGCAGGUGCCCUGCACUGAGAGGCAACCAUCCAACUGGUAGGGGCUACUCUCAUGACUGGGCUUGCAGGUGGGCGAGAAGGCAGGGUUCAACCUACACUUCCCCCAGACGAUAGUGUGCAGCCCCACAAGCCAUGUGGGGCUGCACACAACCAGCGCUGCCAGGAGCAGCGUGGGUAAACAGAGGCCAGGACUCGUUAUCUGGGUCUCCUCAUAUCCCACCAGGCAUGACUAUCACGGUGCCUUGGGGGAUUCCCCCAUCAGACGGGCACUCUUGGUGCCUGUCUCUGUCUCCUCGGCUCUGUGGCACUGAAGAGAGACAUGAGCCCGGCAGCCGGGUUAAGGGAGUGCUUGUUCCCUUAGCCUCCUCUAAAAGCCAGGCUCAUGAGUAGGGUUAGGCUGGGUGGGAGUGCUGGGAUCUGCGUGGGAACACAAACAGCCUAGCUCAGGGCUGCUCGUGAGAACAGCCUCCUAGUCUGACUCCAUUGGUCAGCCAUUCUGGGCAGGAAGAUCACCUUGAUGCUGAUCAGGGUUAGCAGAGCUGUCGCAUGGUGUGGGUUACACCCCAAUUUCCAAGACUGGCUGAAGCAAGAGACAAACAGAAGCAGGACUCAAUCAGUCAUCCCCUUAAAACUUGUGGGGUGCUAAUCAGGCACGAGACUACUUGAGAACUACAGUCAGCUUGCUACUUUCCCCACAAGCAGCACAUUAUUCAAGGAUUUGUUGCACUCGCUAUUUAUCAUAAUUUCCUGUAUUACUGAUGCAGUGUGACAUUUCAAACUUCACAAGAUAGCAAUUUUUUAAAAACAGGAUUGAGCACAUUAACAGAAAACUGUGUUAGGGAUGGAUCAGUAUGCAUAGUCCUAUGCUCUGAAGUGGCAUUUCUAGCUUGUGCCAAAUUCUCCUGCUAAGAUAACACAGCAUGUUUUGUUAUUUUUAUUUAUUGCAGUGUGAUCACAGAUAGAAGGAAGUGCUGCUGCUGCAGGCCAAGCUCAAGAGCUACAGGGCUACUGUGAGGACACUAAUAAUAGCAGAAGUUGCGUGUACAUGGCGUGUGAGUGUGUGGGGGUGAGGUCACUGCAAGGAAAUGGGGCCCUGGUGUUUCAGUGAGUUCUGGGCUAUUGCCUGCAGCUUAUUAGCACCUCUAUGUAUAAAAACGUGUCAUUUCAAAAUUUGCUUUUACACUUAAAUGGUGAGAGGUUUUUUUAAGUUGCUAAAUUUAAUAUAUUUACAUCUUGUUUUCCCGCUUGAAUCCAAAAGUAUCCACAACUAGUCCCAUGGGAAGGGAAAAAUCCAAUUAGGAAAUUCUAAAUUUCAAUUUUAAAAAGCACAUUUGAGUCACAAUGUGAAAAUCCCACAACCCUGUAAUUCAUUUUGGCUGUGUCAGCUCUGAUCUGCUAAGCAGAGGGACCAAAAAGAGGGAAAGUGAUAUUCAUGGGACUAGUCAGCCACUGGUUGAGUGGUGGGUGAUAAUGCUCUAAAAACACUGGCUGACAUCCGGACGAAAUUAUUCCUCAGUAGUCCUACUGAAAUUAAGUAGUACCAUUGAGUAACUUAGUUUGGAUGUCAGCCACUGUACUGAUGGCAGGAUUCAGCAUCCACCCCACCUUUUGUCACUAAAUAAACACAGCAGAAUAGUAAGAUACACAACUCAAAAUAUGAAUCAGAAAAAUCAUUAAGGUUAAAAUCAUUAUGGGUUAAAAUCAUUGAUCAAUAAUUGGUAAACUGGGAAUGUUAUGUAGAUGUCACACCAUUAGUGUUCCAGUGUGGUGAAGACCAGAGAGAGAGAGAGAGGGGGGGGGGGGUCAUUCACACAAUCAAAAACUAACUGCUCUAUCCAGGUUUGGGAGCUGUGUGUGCUCCCAAUUUUUGGUUUUGUGGAAGCAAGGUAGGAGGAAGCAAGGUUGUGUGCAAGCAAGGUAGGAGGAAAACCUGGUAGCUUUUCCUCCUACCUUGCUUCCACACUAUCUCUUCUAUCCAGGUUUUUUUCUUACCUUGCUUCCACACAACUGAAAAUUGGGAGCACACAUAGCUCACAAAUCUGGGAAGAACACAGGUUUUGAUUGUGUAAAUGACCUCAGUAUGUGCGAGAUAGAGUAUCCACAAAGCAGUUCUCUUGCAUGUUUCUGACGUGAGGAACAGAGAUGCUUGAAGUUGGGAAAUAUUGCCACAAAUGGGGAAAGAAAUCAACUAGACACUAUGGUGAGCAGUAUCAAGGUUAUGGAAUUAUUUAUUUGGAUACAUAUUAGACAAAAAAUAGAUGAAAACAUUUUUUAAUUUGUCCAGCUUCAAUUGCUUAGAACUGUAUGUAUCUGCAGAGAAGAAAAUGAAAUAAAUAUGUGUGGCUAUA